Cinara cedri is the source of this 904-nucleotide non-coding RNA. NCBI's taxonomy places the organism in Eukaryota, Metazoa, Arthropoda, Insecta, Hemiptera, Aphididae. The record is from the annotation of a GenBank genome assembly.
GAUAAUGAAUUUCAUGAAUGGUUUUCGAAUUAGCUGAAGUUUUACUUUUAGGAGUGCUGAGGAAGCGCUGCCACCUUCAUUUUUAAAUUUCGAGUUGAGUUUGAAGCCAUUAUUAAUUAUUUAUAUGUCGUUUGUACCUAAUUCUACCUCGAGUGCCAUCCUCAACUUAAACUGUUCUUGUACAAUUAAAUUUUCGAUGUGAAACAUUUUUACAAAUUAUUCUUCAUUAUUGGCAGUUGAAAAGUGCGUUAAUUGUUCUCGCACUAAAAAAAGAAAAACAAUUUCAUUUACAUAACCGACUGAAAACUUGGAUUCCCUAAAUGAUGCGUUAUCAUCAAUGUUUGUACAGAGUCUGAAGACAUGUAAAAUUGUAAAACUGGAAACAUUAAAGUUAUUAACGAAUAUGUAAAACAAAUAUUUAUUGAGCCGUAUUAACCACUAACAACGAAACAAAAAAAGAUGUCCUAGGGUAAUGGAGAUGGAUCUGCAUCCGUAGCUGCCUACUGUUAUAGAUAAUUUAAUGUAUAUUUGUAAGCAACGAUUGACCAUUGCAAAUGAAAAAAAUAAUUCUAAACGCAAUUCAGUUGAUAGUGAUGCUUUGUCAACAAUAUAUGUGUCAUAUUAUUGUAAAAUAAUUAAAUAGGCAUUGUAUAUUUUCUUUAAUAAUAUUUGUUUAAUUUUGUAUCGAUUUUCCUGUUUUUGUUGUUAAGUGUUAACCUAAGCCACCUGCGUGCGCAGAUCUUGUUGGCAGGGGAGCAGAAAAUGUAUAUGUAUAUAUAUAUAUAUAUAUAUUAUUAUAUAUUAAAUAUUACAUGCAAUAUAAUUAAAUAUUAUCUUGGUUAUUAGUAAGUUCAAUAAAUAUUUAAUUAUAAAUUGAAAAUAAUAAAUAAUAAUUAAAAUUACA